AACCUCGGGAAACCGUGGCUAAUACCGGAUACGAGACGAGAUCGCAUGGUCAUCGUCUGGAAAGAAUUUCGGUCUGGGAUGGACUCGCGGCCUAUCAGCUAGUUGGUGAGGUAAUGGCUCACCAAGGCGACGACGGGUAGCCGGCCUGAGAGGGCGACCGGCCACACUGGAACUGAGACACGGUCCAGACUCCUACGGGAGGCAGCAGUGGGGAAUAUUGCACAAUGGGCGCAAGCCUGAUGCAGCGACGCCGCGUGGGGGAUGAAGGCCUUCGGGUUGUAAACCCCUUUCAGCAGGGAAGAAGCGAAAGUGUCGGUACCUGCAGAAGAAGCGCCGGCUAACUACGUGCCAGCAGCCGCGGUAAUACGUAGGGCGCAAGCGUUGUCCGGAAUUAUUGGGCGUAAAGAGCUCGUAGGCGGUUUGUCGCGUCUGCUGUGAAAGCCCGAGGCUCAACCUCGGGUCUGCAGUGGGUACGGGCAGACUAGAGUGUGGUAGGGGAGACUGGAAUUCCUGGUGUAGCGGUGGAAUGCGCAGAUAUCAGGAGGAACACCAAUGGCGAAGGCAGGUCUCUGGGCCACUACUGACGCUGAGGAGCGAAAGCAUGGGGAGCGAACAGGAUUAGAUACCCUGGUAGUCCAUGCCGUAAACGGUGGGCACUAGAUGUGGGGCUCU
Molecule: ribosomal RNA, 672 nt
Filed under: uncultured bacterium
Lineage: Bacteria
Description: bacterial SSU rRNA
Rfam family: Bacterial small subunit ribosomal RNA
Source: RNAcentral